GUGCUCACUUCGGCAGCACAUAUACUAAAAUUGGAACGACACAGAGAAGAUUAGCAUGGCCCCUGCACAAGGGUGACACACAAAUUCGUUAAGCAUUCCAUAUUUAA
Molecule: small nuclear RNA, 107 nt
Filed under: Panthera pardus (leopard)
Lineage: Eukaryota; Metazoa; Chordata; Mammalia; Carnivora; Felidae
Source: RNAcentral